GAGGAAAAAGAAAAGGAAGGGAG
RNAcentral lists this non-coding RNA (23 nucleotides) under Cricetulus griseus (Chinese hamster). The record is from RNAcentral. Lineage: Eukaryota; Metazoa; Chordata; Mammalia; Rodentia; Cricetidae.